This is a non-coding RNA of Pelobates cultripes (western spadefoot toad), 441 nucleotides long. Lineage: Eukaryota; Metazoa; Chordata; Amphibia; Anura; Pelobatidae. The record is from the annotation of a GenBank genome assembly.
GUGGCAUCAUGUGGAAUGGCUGUAAUGAGGGAUGUCACAUCAGGGACAAUGGGUGAAAUGGGCACAAUUAAACUAUUCAGGGCUCUAAAGUCCUGAACUAAGCGAUAUGCUGGCCAGUGGUGUUGGGAGUGGGUCUGGUGUUGUUCUUGCCUACAGGGCAUAUUUUGAGAAAGGUGGGGUUGUUGGGGUGUGUGGGGUUUCCUGGGGUUUCCUGGGGUGUGGACACUCAUUCCUCCAGUGGCCAUAUUGGCCACAGUUGAAACAAGUGUUCCUGUCUAUUCCUCCUUGGUUACCCCUGCCCCUAUAACCCUGAUUUCCCUGUCUCCAUCCCCUUGCCCCUCUUUGACCACCCCUUCCACGGGCUUUAUGUGCUCCAUCCCAUCCUCGCUCUCAGCCUGUGUAGCUGGACAUAAUAUGUUGCAAUCCCUGAGCAUAAUAAGC